AGUGAGAUGGCAGAGUGGUUAAUGCGUUCCGCUGUAAACGGAAUCUGUGAAAACGGUCGGGAGUUCGAAUCUCUCUCUCACUA
RNAcentral lists this transfer RNA (83 nucleotides) under Oscarella pearsei. Its description in RNAcentral is "tRNA-Tyr". It matches the Rfam family "tRNA". Rfam says of the family: Transfer RNA (tRNA) molecules are approximately 80 nucleotides in length. Their secondary structure includes four short double-helical elements and three loops (D, anti-codon, and T loops). The record is from RNAcentral. Lineage: Eukaryota; Metazoa; Porifera; Homoscleromorpha; Homosclerophorida; Oscarellidae.